This 1284-nucleotide long non-coding RNA is filed under the name Salmo salar (Atlantic salmon). Its description in RNAcentral is "lncRNA (ENSSSAG00000106787.1)". Lineage: Eukaryota; Metazoa; Chordata; Actinopteri; Salmoniformes; Salmonidae. The record is from RNAcentral.
CCGAGAGAUGCGUUUCAGAUUGGUCUGCGGUGUAGCAUCUUGUGUCUCUAAAAUGAGCUGCUCGUUAUGCGUAGAUAAUCCUUUGUACUGCAGUUUUUUUCAAAGGAUAUAACGUUGGCUAUGGAAAACUACAAAUAUGUUGCUAUCGCUUCCAAUAACAUUGCUGCCCUGAAUUUAUCAGGCGCUUUCGACAAAGGUCAGUGGGAAAAAGUUGAUGGACUACUUUCUGGAGGACGAUCUCUGAUGAAAAACAUUUUAAUUGAAGACACUGUCUUCUGAUGCCAGUGAUGGGGAAGAAACGGAAAUCAACAGUGUUGUCAUGGAAGAAGUUGACCGAGUUUUGAAAUCAGUGGAAUGUCUGUGCAAACUAAAUGAAAACAACACAGGAUGUCUUAUUUAAUGGAAGGGGUUGCAGUCUGCUGUGACGCUUUCAUCCAUGUAUACGGUCUUUCAGCAACAGUAGAACACACCUGACUCUCCUCCACCAGUCACACAAGGAGAAUGGUCUAAUGCCUCCCAUCAAAAAGAGAGCUGGCCCAAGCAAGUACAGGUUACACCUGAAGCAUGGGGACUUGCAGCGAGUGGUGAACUUUAUCAACAAAUACGCAGAGGACAAUGACAUAGUAUUGCCAGAACGACACCAAGGACACAAACACUUUGGAGAUGUACGUGUAGUCGGGCUGUCUUCCUUCAGGAAUCUAUGGAGAAAAUUGCAGCGCCACAGCUCAAGCACUAAGCCCAGGACAGACCUGUGCUGGCAGUGCCAGGGGAACAACUGGCAGAUCUGAAGACCUGAUAAUCUGCCAGAAGCUGUUUAAUUAGUCAAGCUGAAGAAGCAAGAGCAGCAUCUCCUGCUUGUUCAGUGAGCGAUCUGUCUACCAGAAGAUGGUUGCUGACUGCAAGACCACCUGUCAAGACUUGCAGUUGUCUCUGGGUUUGCUCAACAAGUGCACUAUCCUUCUGACCCUAUGAAGCCAGGUGCCAUCUACUUUUAACUCCUCGCAAGUGUGGCUUGUUUGGUGUCUGCUGUGAAGGAAUACCACAAGUCGACUACUUGAUUGAUGAAGGCAUGUCAUACAGCAAAGGCAGUAGUGUAGUCAUGUGAAGAACAGCACUUUGACAGGGGUCAACACCCCACAGCUGGUUGGACUGGAGGAUGGUACGGUGCUGGUGGAAAGCUAUGGCUGGCAACAACACCUGACUCCGUACUUCAGGCCGCUGCCACAGAUCAAGCAGUACCAGCACUUCAGACAUUUCCCACUUCUUGUUUGGAGUCUAUUGGAC